UACGUAGGGUGCAAGCGUUAAUCGGAAUUACUGGGCGUAAAGCGUGCGCAGGCGGUUUUGUAAGUCUGAUGUGAAAUCCCCGGGCUCAACCUGGGAAUUGCAUUGGAGACUGCAAGGCUAGAAUCUGGCAGAGGGGGGUAGAAUUCCACGUGUAGCAGUGAAAUGCGUAGAGAUGUGGAGGAACACCGAUGGCGAAGGCAGCCCCCUGGGUCAAGAUUGACGCUCAUGCACGAAAGCGUGGGGAGCAAACAGC
Molecule: ribosomal RNA, 253 nt
Filed under: uncultured bacterium
Lineage: Bacteria
Description: partial 16S ribosomal RNA
Rfam family: Bacterial small subunit ribosomal RNA
Source: RNAcentral